Molecule: ribosomal RNA, 253 nt
Filed under: uncultured bacterium
Lineage: Bacteria
Description: partial 16S ribosomal RNA
Rfam family: Bacterial small subunit ribosomal RNA
Source: RNAcentral
UACGAAGGGGGCUAGCGUUGUUCGGAUUUACUGGGCGUAAAGCGCGUGUAGGCGGGUCGUUAAGUCGGAGGUGAAAGCCCAGAGCUCAACUCUGGAAUUGCCUUCGAUACUGGCGACCUGGACCCAUGUAGAGGCAAGUGGAAUUGCGAGUGUAGAGGUGAAAUUCGUAGAUAUUCGCAGGAACACCAGUGGCGAAGGCGACUUGCUGGACAUGUGGUGACGCUGAGACGCGAAAGCGUGGGGAGCAAACAGG